UACGUAGGCAGCAAGCGUUGUUCGGAAUUACUGGGCGUAAAGAGUGUGUAGGCGGUGCUCCAAGUCUGGUGUGAAAUCUCCCGGCUUAACUGGGAGGUGCAUUAGAAACUGGAUGCUAGAGGAUGGGAGAGGUAAGCGGAAUUCCUGGUGUAGCGGUGAAAUGCGUAGAUAUCAGGAGGAACACCUGUGGUGUAGACAGCUUACUGGACCAUUUCUGACGCUGAGACGCGAAAGCGUGGUAGCAAACAGG
RNAcentral lists this ribosomal RNA (250 nucleotides) under uncultured bacterium. Its description in RNAcentral is "partial 16S ribosomal RNA". It matches the Rfam family "Bacterial small subunit ribosomal RNA", at positions 524 to 776 of the family's 1533-position model. The record is from RNAcentral.